AAGCGACUUAGUUAGGAGGCACACAUUAAUUAGAUUCAAAUUUGUGUUUGAUCUGUUCAUAUAAAUGCCUUUUGAAGGACUCUUUAAGUUUCUUAUUAGUUAUUCCUCAAGUAGUUUUUCACAUUU
This 126-nucleotide small nucleolar RNA is filed under the name Phaseolus vulgaris (common bean). Its description in RNAcentral is "Small nucleolar RNA U19". It matches the Rfam family "Small nucleolar RNA U19". Lineage: Eukaryota; Viridiplantae; Streptophyta; Magnoliopsida; Fabales; Fabaceae. The record is from Rfam by way of RNAcentral.